Molecule: ribosomal RNA, 327 nt
Filed under: Kwonkan sp. MYG195
Lineage: Eukaryota; Metazoa; Arthropoda; Arachnida; Araneae; Anamidae
Description: partial 12S ribosomal RNA
Source: RNAcentral
UUUCAGUAAAAGGGUAAUACCUCAGAGAGAAACCCUUAUUCUUUGGCGGCCUUUAUUCUACUCAAAGGAACUUGUUAUAUAAUCGAAAUUACCCGCUAAAUCUUACUUUUUUCAUAGCUUUUAUACCGUCGUUUUAUAGAGCCAAUUUGAAUUUUUUUCUCGAAAAAGGAACAUUCACCCAAGUCAGAUCAAGGUGAAGCCAAUAAAAAAGAACAAAUGAGUUAUUCAUAAAAAAAAUUUAGAGAUUUCAAAUCAAAAUGCAAAUAAAUCAAGAUUUGAAAGUACUUUUAGAUCAAAAUUCUAAUAGAAAUAAGUUAAUAAAGGUGU